GUUUACACUGUUCCCAAGCUCUACCAAAGCCUGUCUACGGAAAGCCUGUUCACUCCCUAUUUAACCCCACUGUACCAAAUGAGUUCCACAGGGGGUGAUCGCAGGCAAGUGCAAAAAGAAUGGGACUCUAUGGAGCUAGAU
This is a long non-coding RNA of Etheostoma spectabile (orangethroat darter), 141 nucleotides long. RefSeq lists it as uncharacterized. NCBI's taxonomy places the organism in Eukaryota, Metazoa, Chordata, Actinopteri, Perciformes, Percidae. The transcript has 3 exons. The record is from RefSeq and is a predicted model, not a curated record.